This 1758-nucleotide long non-coding RNA is filed under the name Anser brachyrhynchus (Pink-footed goose). Its description in RNAcentral is "lncRNA (ENSABRG00000001293.1)". Lineage: Eukaryota; Metazoa; Chordata; Aves; Anseriformes; Anatidae. The record is from RNAcentral.
UGGAUACCCUCUGGCUACCCCAGAUGAAAGGACACUGAUCUGAUGUUGGGUAGCAAUAUGCCUUCAGCAAAACUGCUGCUUUCUGCACCUCCAGCCCAAACAGUUUCAACUCUGCUCAACACCCCAAACUUGCCUAUUCAACUUUCUCACUUGCGCUUGCCACAAUCAACGUUUCAUCUUUACUUGCCACUUAGAUCUGACUUUGCAUCUCAUUGCUUGUCACCUUGAAGCCAUUUCUCCCAAAUAUGUCAAUUUUUCUCAUCACUCAGAUACUACCGUUGCUCCCUCUUAGCGCUCAUCACCUGCCUGUCCCCUCAAAGCUGCCACUUUAUAUUAUUUUUUGAAGGAUGACUCAUGGCGCAUAGGAUAUCAGCAGGGACUUGCACAGGAGUAUAGUUAUAAUAGUCUGGUUUUUUUUUUUUUUUUCGUGUCAUAUCCUGUUGUUUUUUGUUUUGUUUUGUUUUUUACCUCAUUAGUACUACUGUUGCUAAGAUCAGGUUCACCCCUCCCUAGGUCCUUCUGACGCGAUCCCAUUAUCCAUUCAGUAUGACAUCAAAAGCUGACACAUAAUUGCCAUUAACAUAAUCUGUUUAGUUAGUUCUUCUUGGUUCAAUAGGGAUCCAGAAGACAGGGAAAGAAGCCAGAAGUCUGCUGGGGUUGUCCUUCUCUGCUCUCAUCAUCAGGAACCUUUUGCUCUGAGAAGCCAAAAGAAGUCACAAGUGAAGAGGACAGCCAGAAAGAAAAUAUCAGAUUUGGAAAGAAUAAAGAGUCGGCCUAUGACCUGGUACUGUGACCCAGAGACAACUUUGUGGGGUAGGGGUAUUGCUAGAGAGGAUUUGGGGAGAAAACGAUCACAAUCACAGUUACUGUGCCAUUUUUCUGUAAAUAAAAGGGAUUCCAUUAAAGAGGUAUUUGUCUCCAUCAGCUAUUUUUUUGUGACUGAAAAAAUACAGAAGACCACACUGUUUUAGCUAUCUGCUUGGGUCAGAAAGGGUAACAGGAAAUAUACUAGUGUUGCAUCAUUCCUAUGCUAAAAAUCUUUGACCAUAAAAUGUGGAUGAGAAAAGAAACCAGAAACUAAUUAAAAGAAAAGACCUAGAAAACUAGAAACUCCAUGUUUACUUUCCAGCAAUUAUACCCCCAAAUACUUUUUUUCACAGGCUUUCAUUUGCCUCUUUUUUAGAAAUCGCUGAUCCGACCCAUCACCCAAUUAUUUUCAGACUAAAAGACUUCUCAGUAAAUCUUUUCUGAGCUGUUCCUGUCACAGUUGCAGUUUUUUAGCAAUCUGGUCCUUUUAUUUUCAUUUCGUACUUGUGUGCUUCCUGUUGAAGAUAAAAUCUAGGGGGAUGAUUUAGAAUGCAUAUUGUGGUCAAUCAAAUGUAACUUUGCUGACUUCAGUGACUUAAGCGUUGACUUUCCUAACCUGUGCAAGGUCCUGAGUUGGAGAGGUCUUUUUGGGAUGCUAUUAUCUUUCAUGGACUUUGAAAUGGUUCACUAAAACCUAUGGGCUUAUGCUGGGUUAACCUUGGUUAAGGGCCAAACUUCCCCUCAGCCAUUUUUUCACCCACCCAUCCUGAAAAGGACAGGGGAGAAAACAGGAUGAAAAAACUCAUGGGUCAAGAUAAAGACAGGAAGAUCGCUUAACAAUUACCAUCAAGGGCAAAACAGAUUGGAUUUGGGGUACAGUAAUUUAUAUAUAAUUGUCAGUUAAGAUAGGUUUGGAUAGUGAGAAACAAGAACAAUUUAAACACAUCCCCU